Molecule: RNase P RNA, 344 nt
Filed under: bovine gut metagenome
Description: Bacterial RNase P class A
Rfam family: Bacterial RNase P class A
About the family: Ribonuclease P (RNase P) is a ubiquitous endoribonuclease, found in archaea, bacteria and eukarya as well as chloroplasts and mitochondria.
Source: RNAcentral
AGUGGGACGGACAAUCGCCGGAGACCGGUACAUGCCGGGAUCGGGAGGAAAGUCCGGGCUUCGCAGGGCAGGAUGCCGGAUAACGUCCGGUGGAGGUGACUCUAAGGAAAGUGCAACAGAAAUGAUACCGCCUGCAUUGCAGGUAAGGGUGAAAUGGCGGUGUAAGAGACCACCGCUGCAACGGUAACGCUGCAGGCAUAUGUAAACCCCAUCCGAAGCAAGACCAAGCAGAGGGCUAUACGGCUGCCCGUCGUGCCUUCAGGUAGGUCGCUUGAGGUGGCCGGUAACGGCCAUCCUAGAUAGAUGAUUGUUCGAGACAGAACCCGGCUUACAGUCCCACUCAU